CCUACGGGAGGCUGCAGUGGGGAAUAUUGGACAAUGGGCGAAAGCCUGAUCCAGCCAUGCCGCGUGUGUGAAGAAGGCCUUCGGGUUGUAAAGCACUUUCAGUGGGGAAGAAAGCCUUGGGGCUAAUACCCUCGAGGAAGGACAUCACCCACAGAAGAAGCACCGGCUAACUCCGUGCCAGCAGCCGCGGUAAUACGGAGGGUGCGAGCGUUAAUCGGAAUUACUGGGCGUAAAGCGCGCGUAGGCGGUCUGAUAAGCCGGUUGUGAAAGCCCCGGGCUCAACCUGGGAACGGCAUCCGGAACUGUCAGGCUAGAGUGCAGGAGAGGAAGGUAGAAUUCCCGGUGUAGCGGUGAAAUGCGUAGAGAUCGGGAGGAAUACCAGUGGCGAAGGCGGCCUUCUGGACUGACACUGACGCUGAGGUGCGAAAGCGUGGGUAGCAAACAGGAUUAGAUCCCCGGUAGUC
Molecule: ribosomal RNA, 464 nt
Filed under: Vreelandella stevensii
Lineage: Bacteria; Pseudomonadati; Pseudomonadota; Gammaproteobacteria; Oceanospirillales; Halomonadaceae
Description: partial 16S ribosomal RNA
Rfam family: Bacterial small subunit ribosomal RNA
Source: RNAcentral